UCAGUGGCUCAAGAACGAACGCUGGCGGCAGGCCUCAAACAUGCAAGUCUAGGGGGGUGUAGCAAUACAUCACCGGCGGACGGGUGCGUAACGCGUGGGAAUAUACCUAUUGGUUCGGAACAACACAGGGAAACUUGUGCUAAUACCGAAUGUGCCCUUACGGGGAAAGAUUUAUCGCCAAUGGAUUAGCCCGCGUCCGAUUAGCUAGUUGGUGAGGUAACGGCUCACCAAGGCUCCGAUCGGUAGCUGUUCUGAGAGGAAGAUCAGCCACACUGGGACUGAGACACGGCCCAGACUCCUACGGGAGGCAGCAGUUGGGAAUCUUGGACAAUGGGGGAAACCCUGAUCCAGCUAUGCCGCGUGAGUGAUGAAGGCCUUCGGGUUGUAAAACUCUUUCGACGGGGACGAUAAUGACGGUACCCGUAGAAGAAGCUCCGGCUAACUUCGUG
RNAcentral lists this ribosomal RNA (449 nucleotides) under uncultured bacterium. RNAcentral describes it as "bacterial SSU rRNA". It matches the Rfam family "Bacterial small subunit ribosomal RNA", at positions 26 to 507 of the family's 1533-position model. The record is from RNAcentral.